ACCUGUGAAAUUAUGAACCCUUAUUGUAUACUGUAUGUAUUUUAAAUCUGCAAUUCAAUAUAAAAUAUAUUUCCAUACACUACUUACCUUAUGUUUACUCGUCGAUCUCACCAAAGCCACACUCUAAAAAAUGCUGGGUUGGUUUUUUAACCCAAAUGCUGGGUUGAGACUGCUGGGUAACAAAAUUGGGUUGAUUCAACCCAAUUUGGGUUGAAAAUCGAUCUUUAUCUAUAACCCAGCAGUGCUGGGUUGGGAACGCGGACGUGAAAGAGAGCACGCACGUCACGUCAACAUGCAGGGACAUCAACGUGAGAAACCGCCAUUUUCUUUGCGCUGUCUUUGAGGGGAAGCGAGUGAAAUUCUGUGUGAGACGUAAGUUAUUUAGUGUGUUUUUAACAAUUUUCAUAAGAAAUAACACACUUAGUUUACUUAGUAUAAUAUACACGCGCUUUUUUUUCUGUUUCUCCGCCUGAUGGCCGACUUGUUGCUCCGCCUCACGCUGACCUGUGCUCGCCUUAUGGCUGAACUGUUGCUCCGAGUCCGCCUGACGAGCCACCUGUUUCUCCGGAUCUGUUUCUCCGCCUAACGGCGACGUGUUUCUCCGGACCUGUUUCUCCGCCUAACGGCGACCUGUUUCUCCGGACCUGUUUCUCCGCCUAACGCCCGAGCUGUUGCUCCGCCUAACUCCUGACCUGUGCUCGCCUCACGCCCGACAUGUUGCUCCACCUCACGCCCAGCCUGUUGAUCGGUGGACGGGUAAGCGCGCAUGGCAUCGGAAGGAGCUCGAAAAGUAUAAGGUGAUGACAGUAAGUAACGUUACUGUGAUUUGUGAUCUUUCUGGGGUGUUAACUGUAAAGCAAUGGAUAAUUGCGUGAAAAUCAAACUAAAAGAAUGCAAUCUUGAGGAGUUAAUCCCCACAUUUGAAGCACAGGAGCGAACCUUUCCUCGUUUUUAGGUCAAUUUGAAUACAAUUCAGAGGGGUGGCAUGGGGGCGCAGUGGGUAGUGCUGUCGCCUCACAGCAAGAUGGUCGCUGGUUUGAGCCUUGGAUGGGUUUCCCCUCCACAGUCCAAUGACAUGCGGUGUAGCUGAAUUGGAUUGGGACCAAUAUUGCUGAGUAUCUUCAUCCAUUGAAUUCAAGAAUCUAUUGAGUUUCCUCAUGUUCUCAUCCUUGGAGACCACCACUUCUUUCAAGCCUUUGCUCACGUGCUGUGCUAUUUAUUAUUGCAAAGUACAUUACUUGCCAAAGUGGACGUUUGCUAUAAAGCAUUCUACAUCUUUGGUGUGAACUACCCCAAGCAGUGUUCCCUGGUGUGGCAGACUGUGGUUUAUGGACAUCCUGGGGAGGAGACACUAGCAGUAAGGGUUCUGCUAGCAUUAAUUUUUGCUGACAAACAGUAAUAAUUAAUACUGUGACCUCACUGCUUCCUUGGAUUCUGUGUUCUUUACUUGUACUUUGGAUUGUGGGGGAAAAGGAGCACCCAGAGAAAACCCACACGAACACGGGGAAAACAUGCAAACUCCACACAGAAACACCAACUGACCCAGCUGAGGCUUAAACCACCGACCUUGUUGCUGUGAGGCAAUCGUACUACCCACUGUGCCACCAUGACACCCAUUUCUAAAGAAUAGUUUUAAUAACUCAUUUCUAAUAACUGAUUUCUUUUCUCUUUGCUAUGAUGACGGCACAUAAUAAUGGACUCGAUAUUUUUUAAGACACUCUACACUGCAGUUACAUUGCAACUAAUGUUUCUUACAGACUCUUUUAUAUCUCAGGAUUGAUGUUUGCACAUGAUUGUUCGAGUAAAAGUUAAAAAAAGUUUUCCUAUUUCAAAUUUGUUUUAAAAUGCUUCCAUCCUCAGGUUUCAUUUUAACUUUUAUAUCUGUUUUUUCUUCAAAACUGCAUUUACAUUGAACUUGAUCAUCCUUACUGAUGAUUGCUUUAUAUCUCAUAUAUUGAUGUUUGCACAUAAUUGUUAAAGGGAAAGUUAUAAAAUGUUUUCUUAUUUUUUCUUAAUAUAAAAUUUGUAUUUUCUUAGUUUUUAUUGUUUGUUUUGUUUUUUCAAGCUGUUUGAUGCCUUUUCAUUAUUACUUUCACAUAUUUUUUUCUGCAUUGCAGUUGAUGAUUUAUAUGAGAAUAUGUUGAUGUUUGUGCUCAAAUUACUUUCUGACUUCAGUCAUUUAGAUGCAUUUUCAUUAUUACUUCCUUAUACUAUUGUUUUUCUCUACUCUGCAAUAACAUUGCAAUUGACUUACUGAUGAUUCCUGAUUUAUAAAUGAUGCAAAUGUUUUUGAAUGUAUUUCAAAUAUGCAUUUUCUUAAGGUAAUUUGUCUCAUUUCAGUCUGAUGCAUUGUUACUGAACUUUAGUCAGUGUUUCUGUGAUACAGUUUGAUAAAUUUUCACAGAAAUCGUCUUAACCCUUU
This is a non-coding RNA of Danio rerio (zebrafish), 2422 nucleotides long. The record is from Ensembl. NCBI's taxonomy places the organism in Eukaryota, Metazoa, Chordata, Actinopteri, Cypriniformes, Danionidae.